GGUAGCCGGCCUGAGAGGGUGNCCGGCCACACUGGGACUGAGANACGGCCCAGACUCCUACGGGAGGCAGCAGUGGGGAAUAUUGCACAAUGGGCGCAAGCCUGAUGCAGCGACGCCGCGUGRGGGAUGACGGCCUUCGGGUUGUAAACCUCUUUCANUAGGGANGAAGCGCAAGUGACGGUACCURYRGAARAAGCACCGGCCAACUACGUGCCAGCAGCCGCGGUAAUACGUAGGGUGCGAGCGUUGUCCGGAAUUACUGGGCGUAAAGAGCUCGUAGGUGGUUUGUCGCGUUGUCCGUGAAAUUUCRMARCUCAAUUGNGARCGUGCGGGNGAUACGGGCARACUGGAGUNCUGYAGGGGA
This 364-nucleotide ribosomal RNA is filed under the name uncultured bacterium. RNAcentral describes it as "partial 16S ribosomal RNA". It matches the Rfam family "Bacterial small subunit ribosomal RNA", at positions 282 to 658 of the family's 1533-position model. The record is from RNAcentral.